GACGAACGCUGGCGGCGUGCUUAACACAUGCAAGUCGAACGAUGAAGCUGGAGCUUGCUCCGGUGGAUUAGUGGCGAACGGGUGAGUAACACGUGAGCAAUCUGCCCUUGACUCUGGGAUAACUGCGGGAAACUGUAGCUAAUACCGGAUACGAGACCUGAAGGCAUCUUCGGGUCUGGAAAGAGUUUCGGUCAAGGAUGAGCUCGCGGCCUAUCAGCUUGUUGGUGGGGUAAUGGCUCACCAAGGCGACGACGGGUAGCCGGCCUGAGAGGGUGACCGGCCACACUGGGACUGAGACACGGCCCAGACUCCUACGGGAGGCGGCAGUGGGGAAUAUUGCACAAUGGGCGCAAGCCUGAUGCAGCGACGCCGCGUGAGGGAUGACGGCCUUCGGGUUGUAAACCUCUUUCAGCUAUGACGAAGCGCAAGUGACGGUAGUAGCAGAAGAAGGACCGGCCAACUACGUGCCAGCAGCCGCAGUAA
This 483-nucleotide ribosomal RNA is filed under the name uncultured bacterium. RNAcentral describes it as "partial 16S ribosomal RNA". It matches the Rfam family "Bacterial small subunit ribosomal RNA", at positions 28 to 523 of the family's 1533-position model. The record is from RNAcentral.